GACGAACGCUGGCGGCGUGCUUAACACAUGCAAGUCGAACGGUGAAGCGCCUUCCUUUUUGGUGGGUGUGGAUGAGUGGCGAACGGGUGAGUAACACGUGAGUAACCUGCCCCCUUCUUCUGGAUAACCGCAUGAAAGUGUGGCUAAUACGGGAUAUUCUGUGUCUGUCGCAUGAUGGGUCUGGGAAAGAUAUUGUUUCGGUGGGGGAUGGGCUCGCGGCCUAUCAGCUUGUUGGUGGGGUGAUGGCCUACCAAGGCGGUGACGGGUAGCCGGCCUGAGAGGGUGGACGGUCACACUGGGACUGAGACACGGCCCAGACUCCUACGGGAGGCAGCAGUGGGGAAUAUUGCACAAUGGGCGCAAGCCUGAUGCAGCGACGCCGCGGGAGGGAUGGAGGCCUUCGGGUUGUGAACCUCUUUCGCCAGUGAAGCAGGCCUGCCUCGUUUGUGGGUGGGUUGACGGUAGCUGGAUAAGAAGCGCCGGCUAACUACGUG
Molecule: ribosomal RNA, 494 nt
Filed under: uncultured bacterium
Lineage: Bacteria
Description: partial 16S ribosomal RNA
Rfam family: Bacterial small subunit ribosomal RNA
Source: RNAcentral